This 445-nucleotide ribosomal RNA is filed under the name uncultured bacterium. RNAcentral describes it as "bacterial SSU rRNA". It matches the Rfam family "Bacterial small subunit ribosomal RNA", at positions 330 to 793 of the family's 1533-position model. The record is from RNAcentral.
ACCAGACUCCUACGGGAGGCAGCAGUGGGGAAUAUUGCACAAUGGGGGAAACCCUGAUGCAGCGACGCCGCGUGAGUGAAGAAGUAAUUCGUUACGUAAAGCUCUAUCAGCAGGGAAGAAAAUGACGGUACCUGAGUAAGAAGCCCCGGCUAACUACGUGCCAGCAGCCGCGGUAAUACGGAGGAUGCGAGCGUUAUCCGGAUUUAUUGGGUUUAAAGGGUGCGUAGGCGGACGCUUAAGUCAGCGGUAAAAUGGCGGGGCUCAACCUCGUCGAGCCGUUGAAACUGGCGAACUCGAGAGGGAGAGAAGUAGGCGGAAUGCGCAGUGUAGCGGUGAAAUGCAUAGAUAUUGCGCAGAACUCCGAUUGCGGAGGCAGCCUACCGGCUCCUGUCUGACGCUGAGGCACGAAAGCGUGGGUAUCGAACAGGAUUAGAUACCCUAGUAC